AGCCCUCAUCAGAGGACGCCCAUCAUCAAGGGACAUUUGUCUCAGGGAGCUUACCGCAGGAGGAGAUUAGAAGUUACGAAUUUGGUGAAAUUGGAUUCAAUAAUUACGAUAAGAUUAUUUUGUGGGAGAGUAUCAAUCCGGUCGUCGUGAGCGAUUCGUAAACAACUGCUUCAAGUAUGUAGGAAGAUUAUUGUGAUCAACGCUGGACAGAUUGGAAGAAACCUUAACCAUGAGUAGCAGACACAUACACCACAUAUUAAUGAAAUGGAAAUAAAUGCGUUGCUUUAAAAAAUCAA
This is a long non-coding RNA of Aedes aegypti (yellow fever mosquito), 296 nucleotides long. RefSeq lists it as uncharacterized. NCBI's taxonomy places the organism in Eukaryota, Metazoa, Arthropoda, Insecta, Diptera, Culicidae. The transcript is spliced from 2 exons. The record is from RefSeq and is a predicted model, not a curated record.